CAAGCUUAAAAAUAAAACCCAACACCAAGGGAAAUCAGCUGGGAUGCUGCUGUUUGCUUUUUCUGAAAAGCACAGCCAGCCUUGAACGCUGUGUCAGCAGCAGUUUUCUUUCAGA
Molecule: long non-coding RNA, 115 nt
Filed under: Cyanistes caeruleus (blue tit)
Lineage: Eukaryota; Metazoa; Chordata; Aves; Passeriformes; Paridae
Description: lncRNA (ENSCCEG00000006496.1)
Source: RNAcentral